UGGGGAAUAUUGCACAAUGGAGGGAACUCUGAUGCAGCGACGCCGCGUGAACGAAGAAGGCUUUCGAGUCGUAAAGUUCUUUUAUAUGGGAAGAUAAUGACGGUACCAUAAGAAAAAGCCCCGGCUAACUACGUGCCAGCAGCCGCGGUAAUACGUAGGGGGCUAGCGUUGUCCGGAAUCACUGGGCGGAAAGGGUUCGCAGGCGGAAGUGAAAGUCAGGUGUAAAAGGCAGUAGCUUAACUACUGUAAGCAUUUGAAACUGCAUAUCUUGAGAAGAGUAGAGGUAAGUGGAAUUUUUAGUGUAGCGGUGAGAUGCGUAGAUAUUAAAAAGAAUACCGGUGGCGAAGGCGACUUACUGGGCUCAUUCUGACGCUGAGGAACGAAAGCGUGGGUAGCAAACAGG
This 403-nucleotide ribosomal RNA is filed under the name bacterium. RNAcentral describes it as "partial 16S ribosomal RNA". It matches the Rfam family "Bacterial small subunit ribosomal RNA", at positions 355 to 776 of the family's 1533-position model. The record is from RNAcentral.